This 305-nucleotide ribosomal RNA is filed under the name uncultured bacterium. RNAcentral's name for it is "bacterial SSU rRNA". It matches the Rfam family "Bacterial small subunit ribosomal RNA", at positions 335 to 631 of the family's 1533-position model. The record is from RNAcentral.
UGUACCUACGGGACGCAGCAGUGAGGAAUAUUGGUCGAUGGGCGAGAGCCUGAUCCAGCUAUUCCGCGUGUGGGAUGAAGGCCCUCGGGUUGUAAACCACUUUUGUAGAGAACGAAAAGACACCUUCGAAUAAAGGGUGUUGCUGACGGUACUCUAAGAAUAAGCACCGGCUAACUACGUGCCAGCAGCCGCGGUAAUACGUAGGGUGCGAGCGUUAAUCGGAAUUACUGGGCGUAAAGGGUGCGCAGGCGGUUGAGUAAGACGGAUGUGAAAUCCCCGAGCUUAACUCGGGAAUGGCAUAUGUG